This 141-nucleotide small nuclear RNA is filed under the name Chinchilla lanigera (long-tailed chinchilla). RNAcentral describes it as "U4 spliceosomal RNA (ENSCLAG00000021026.1)". It matches the Rfam family "U4 spliceosomal RNA". From Rfam's summary of the family: U4 small nuclear RNA (U4 snRNA) is a component of the major U2-dependent spliceosome. The structure of U4 snRNA from yeast and human has been reported. The record is from Rfam by way of RNAcentral. Lineage: Eukaryota; Metazoa; Chordata; Mammalia; Rodentia; Chinchillidae.
GCCUUUGCGCAGUGGCAGAAUUAGCCAAUGAGGUGUACCCAAGGCAUGAUUAUUGCCAAUUGAAAACAACUGAAAAAGAAUCAACUCUUUCAAGGAAACAGGUAGUGUAGAGAUUUGCAUUUGUAUACAUUUUGUGUAAGA